This 497-nucleotide ribosomal RNA is filed under the name uncultured bacterium. RNAcentral's name for it is "partial 16S ribosomal RNA". It matches the Rfam family "Bacterial small subunit ribosomal RNA", at positions 28 to 507 of the family's 1533-position model. The record is from RNAcentral.
GAUGAACGCUGGCGGCGUGCCUAAUACAUGCAAUUCGAGCGAACAGACGAGGAGCUUGCUCCUCUGACGUUAGCGGCGGACGGGUGAGUAACACGUGGAUAACCUACCUAUAAGACUGGGAUAACUUCGGGAAACCGGAGCUAAUACCGGAUAAUAUAUUGAACCGCAUGGUUCAAUAGUGAAAGACGGUUUUGCUGUCACUUAUAGAUGGAUCCGCGCCGCAUUAGCUAGUUGGUAAGGUAACGGCUUACCAAGGCAACGAUGCGUAGCCGACCUGAGAGGGUGAUCGGCCACACUGGAACUGAGACACGGUCCAGACUCCUACGGGAGGCAGCAGUAGGGAAUCUUCCGCAAAGGGCGAAAGCCUGACGGAGCAACGCCGCGUGAGUGAUGAAGGUCUUCGGAUCGUAAAACUCUGUUAUUAGGGAAGAACAAAUGUGUAAGUAACUAUGCACGUCUUGACGGUACCUAAUCAGAAAGCCACGGCUAACUACGUG